Molecule: long non-coding RNA, 192 nt
Filed under: Fukomys damarensis (Damara mole-rat)
Lineage: Eukaryota; Metazoa; Chordata; Mammalia; Rodentia; Bathyergidae
Description: lncRNA (ENSFDAG00000023849.1)
Source: RNAcentral
GGAAAAAAUAAAAGGUAUAGGGGGCUGGUGACUUAGCACAGUGGUGCCUCCAUCUGCCUUGGAAGCGCAAGGUCCUGAGUUCGAUCACUGGUACCUCCUUCUCCCCAAAAGAAGCCAAAUAACAUUUAUAUUGUAUGGAAGUUUCAGUUCUUGAAACAAUGCUUACCUCCUACUUCUUUCCUCCAGUUCCAC